RNAcentral lists this ribosomal RNA (253 nucleotides) under uncultured bacterium. RNAcentral's name for it is "partial 16S ribosomal RNA". It matches the Rfam family "Bacterial small subunit ribosomal RNA", at positions 524 to 776 of the family's 1533-position model. The record is from RNAcentral.
UACGGGGGGGGCAAGCGUUGUUCGGAAUUACUGGGCGUAAAGGGCUCGUAGGCGGCCAACUAAGUCAGACGUGAAAUCCCUCGGCUUAACCGGGGAACUGCAUCUGAUACUGGAUGGCUUGAGUUCGGGAGAGGGAUGUGGAAUUCCAGGUGUAGCGGUGAAAUGCGUAGAUAUCUGGAGGAACACCGGUGGCGAAGGCGGCGACCUGGGUCGAGACUGACGCUGAGGCGCGAAGGCCAGGGGAGCAAACGGG